CCGCUGCCGGCGCGGCGGGGCGGGGGGGGGGCGGCCGCCGCUCUCCCAUCCUGCUUUUUUUUAAUUAUUGCCGAAACAAAGAGCGGCCUCCCCUCGCACAAAGCAUCCGGCGGCGGCGGAGCUGUCCCCGUGCCCGGCGGCCGCGGCUCUGCCCCUCGGCGGGCAGGUGGCGAGGGCUCCGCGCUGCCCCCGGGAAGGCUCCUCCGGGCGCCGGGUCUUGGCAGCCGGCUUCUGCCGGAGGAAGCGGGAGGAAGCGCGGCCUGGCAGGUGCGGGGAGCCCUGCUCCUCUCCCUGCUCCCGAAGGAGCGGUGCCCGGCGCCGGCCACGCCGGCGCGGAGCUGGCGAACAAAGUACAGCUCGGGCGACCGGCGGCAGAAGUGAAGCGGGCACCGCUCUGUGCCGCCUGCGGUCUGAGCGCGCUGGAAGCCGGGGCUCUUCUCUUGCAGCUUCGCAUCUGUGGGCAUCCUCCGCUGAAGGCAGCUACAGCGCUUGGUGAGACACAGCUGCCUGCCCCACGAGGGACCACGAGCACAGGCGGCUGUGGCCGCGCUAGGGAACACAGGCAAAACGUUUCGCACCGGUGCAGCCACUUGUUCGGCUGCAGUGAGGAUGCCUCAGCGUAGAUGAGAAACCAGCAGUCGCAUCUGUCAAACGAGAAGAACUUGUUUCUUUUCAAUAUUUGGCUGCCAAAGGGAACAUGUUUACUGGACUCAGGACCAAGGCAGGGCAAGAACAAGGAGAAGGUCUUGCAGGGACUGUGAAGAUUUUACAUAUAAACAUUAAAAUAAAAAAGCAAAAUGUAACCAGGCACAGAGUCCAGCAGGAAUCUAGGAACAAGCGGACAGCACUACGUGUAAAGAAGGGGACGCCGGCAAGGACGGCAAAAGAAUCCUCUGAAUAAGCUGAAUGCAAACUUUGCAUGCAACACUAUAUGGGGGCAGCCUUUGGGGAUCCCCCAUACGGCACAGGACCCUGAACUCAAAAAAGGGUGCCAGAUUUUGUGAGGGAUUUGCGCAUCAGGCAGUGGCUCUGCACUGCAGAUUUUAAGCACGACUAAAUCGGGCAAUAGAAUUGUUGCUAUUGCUAUUACAGAGCAGGAUAUUUCACUAAUCCAUGCAAUCCACUAAGUUGCUGUAGUUUUAGUCUGUGUUUAUUUUAGAUGAAAUUAUGUCCUGGACAGUUAAUUUUUCCUAGUUAUCCAAUCAAAUCCUAUAUAAACAAAAAUCAAACAAAAAUCAAAACAUGACCUGUGGUUUUUGUACCCGCCCCCCAUCAUGUGAACCUGCAGAUGAUGCAGCAGUGCACCAGUCGAGCAAACAAAUAAACAAAAAACAAUGAAAAACUACAGCUCUUCUUGAAAACUAGUCCCACUGGCUUUAAAUUAUAUUAACAAUGUAAUUUUCGUACUAGUGGUGGCCUAUUUUGCUUAUAUUUGAAACUCCCCAGCCAUUAUGGGAUUGCCUCCACUGGUCCUUUUCUUGCGUCAAGUAAAUGACAUAUUAACUUGAGGUAUUUAUCAAGGCUGAAAGGCUGGAAUGGAGCCUUUCCGAACACCGUGCGAGUUUAGAAAAGUCUGUUCUUUUACACGGGCUGAUUCCUAAUGCGAGGGGCAAACCUGGAACCAAACAGCCUGGAACCAAAGUGGUCACACUGGCCUUGGGAAGAAGUCAAGUAGCUCGAGUGAAAUGGCAGGCAGCUACCUGGAAAUAAAAGACUCUCAUGUUUCCCAAGGUUUACAUUGUGAUUUUCAAGAGCUCCUGAGCAAUUUAAAGUCCAUGAAAGGAAUGCACUAUAGAAUGAAAAAUACAGGUAUUAUUAAAGAAUGUCUGCAAACUGAAAGCUAGCCAGUUUCAUAAAAACGAGUUAAAAAACAAUAACAGGUACUCUGUCUCCUGCUGCAUGCUGUAUGAACCAUAUGUUUUGCAUUUUUAAAGUCGCUUUUAAAACAAUGUUUUUCUGUUCGCUGUUGCUAUUGUGAAAAAAAACAGUAAAAACAACUAUGCAUAAAAUGAGGUUAAAGUAAUCUAAUUAAAAAAAUAAACAAUGUGUUUUCAUCUUUAA
This is a long non-coding RNA of Dromaius novaehollandiae (emu), 2061 nucleotides long. RefSeq lists it as uncharacterized. The record is from RefSeq and is a predicted model, not a curated record. NCBI's taxonomy places the organism in Eukaryota, Metazoa, Chordata, Aves, Casuariiformes, Dromaiidae. The transcript has 3 exons.